RNAcentral lists this long non-coding RNA (213 nucleotides) under Lathyrus oleraceus (garden pea). Its description in RNAcentral is "Pisum sativum (pea) long non-coding RNA (PSAT_LNC022232)". The record is from RNAcentral. Lineage: Eukaryota; Viridiplantae; Streptophyta; Magnoliopsida; Fabales; Fabaceae.
AAAAGAAUCAAUAUAAGAGUUGCUAAUGUUGAAAUUAUUUGAGGGAUCACUAACUCGAGACUCUCUAAGACUCUUAGAUGAUGACCCAAUAGAAGGACUAUGAAAAUUUUCAAAAGCACACGAUGAGUACUUUUUAAAUGUUCAUUGUUUAUGUGGUUGUUUUGCUGCAUAAUAGGGCUGACAAAUAGGGAUACAUUAAUGGCAUGUAAUUUU